RNAcentral lists this ribosomal RNA (591 nucleotides) under Lipomyces starkeyi. Its description in RNAcentral is "eukaryotic LSU rRNA". It matches the Rfam family "Eukaryotic large subunit ribosomal RNA", at positions 38 to 648 of the family's 3401-position model. The record is from RNAcentral. Lineage: Eukaryota; Fungi; Ascomycota; Lipomycetes; Lipomycetales; Lipomycetaceae. RNAcentral also lists the same sequence under 1 other name.
GCAUAUCAAUAAGCGGAGGAAAAGAAACCAACAGGGAUUGCCUUAGUAACUGCGAGUGAAGCGGCAAGAGCUCAAAUUUGAAAUCUGGCACCUUCGGUGUCCGAGUUGUAAUUUGUAGAAGCAUCUUUUGGAUUGGUCCUUGCAUAUGUUCCUUGGAACAGGACAUCAUAGAGGGUGAGAAUCCCGUUCAUGGUGGGGAAUCCAAUUCUUUGUAAAGUGCUUUCGAAGAGUCGAGUUGUUUGGGAAUGCAGCUCUAAGUGGGUGGUAAAUUCCAUCUAAAGCUAAAUAUUGGCGAGAGACCGAUAGCGAACAAGUACAGUGAUGGAAAGAUGAAAAGAACUCCGAAAGGAGAGUGAAAAAGGACGUGAAAUUGUUGAAAGGGAAGUGCUUGAGAUCAGUCUUAAGGUUUAGUGAUCAGUCUUCCUUUUGGUUGGUGCACUCACUAUUUCUUAGGCCAACAUCAGUUUUGGCGGCAGGAUAAUGACAUUGGAAUGUGGCUCUUUCGGGAGUGUUAUAGCCUUUGUUGAUACUGCCUGCUUAGACUGAGGACUGCGCUUUUGCUAGGAUGUUGGCAUAAUGAUCUUAAGCAGC